GUAAAGCUCUGUCAAGUGGAAAGAAUGCACGUUCUAUUAAUAGUGGAACGUGUUGACGGUACCGCUAAAGGAAGCACCGGCUAACUCCGUGCCAGCAGCCGCGGUAAUACGGGGGGUGCUAGCGUUAAUCGGAUUUAUUGGGCGUAAAGCGCGCGUAGGCGGCUUCAUAAGUCAGAUGUGAAAGCCCGGGGCUCAACCCUGGAAGUACAUUUGAAACUGUGGAGCUUGAGUAUGGGAGAGGGAAGUGGAAUUCCUGGUGUAGCGGUGAAAUGCGUAGAUAUCAGGAGGAACACCGGUGGCGAAGGCGACUUCCUGGACCAAUACUGACGCUGAGGCGCGAAGGUGUGGGGAGCAAACAGGAUUAGAUACCCUGGUAGUCCACACAGUAAACGUUGAUCACUAGGUGUAGCGGGUUUUUACCCCCGCUGUGCCGAAGCUAACGCAUUAAGUGAUCCGCCUGGGGAGUACGAUCGCAAGGUUAAAACUCAAAGGAAUUGACGGGGGCCCGCACAAGCGGUGGAGCAUGUGGUUUAAUUCGACGCAACGCGAAGAACCUUACCUGGAUUUGACAUCCCGGGAAGUCCUUUGAAAGAAGGAUGUGCCCUUCGGGGAACCCGGUGACAGGUGCUGCAUGGCUGUCGUCAGCUCGUGUCGUGAGAUGUUGGGUUAAGUCCCGCAACGAGCGCAACCCUUUUCUUUAUUUGCCAUCAUUUAGUUGGGAACUCUAAAGAGACUGCCCCGGUUAACGGGGAGGAAGGUGGGGAUGACGUCAAGUCCUCAUGGCCCUUAUGUCCAGGGCUACACACGUGCUACAAUGGGCUGUACAAAGGGUAGCAAACCCGCGAGGGCAAGCCAAUCCCAAAAAGCAGUUCUCAGUUCGGAUUGGAGUCUGCAACUCGACUCCAUGAAGCUGGAAUCGCUAGUAAUCGUGGAUCAGCACGCCACGGUGAAUACGUUCCCGGGCCUUGUACACACCGCCCGUCACACCAUGAGAGUUGGUUGUACCCGAAGUUGCUGGGCCAACCCAUUCAGGAGGCAGGUACCUAAGGUAUGGCUGAUGAUUGGGGUGAAGUCGUAACAAGGUAACC
This 1088-nucleotide ribosomal RNA is filed under the name uncultured bacterium. RNAcentral's name for it is "bacterial SSU rRNA". It matches the Rfam family "Bacterial small subunit ribosomal RNA", at positions 425 to 1501 of the family's 1533-position model. The record is from RNAcentral.